RNAcentral lists this unclassified non-coding RNA (154 nucleotides) under uncultured Ascomycota. RNAcentral's name for it is "sequence contains ITS2". Lineage: Eukaryota; Fungi; Ascomycota. The record is from RNAcentral.
AACCCCUCAAGCUACGCUUGGUGUUGGGCGCUUGUCCCGCCUCCGGCGCGGACUCGCCUUAAAUCCAUUGGCGGCCUCCGUAUUGGGCUAUCGAGCGCAGUAGACCAGCGCCUCGGGCCCAGCGCGCGGGCGACCAGCAAGCGAACAUCAACCU